AAGCGUGUGGCAGGUGGGACUCUGCCCUGCCACCGCCGAAAACCGCAGGCAGCAAAAGACUGUGGAGUAGCCCAUUUUCAAAGACUUUUGGAGGGCAGAAGAAGGGGGUUUGAGAGACGUCGGAUAUGGAGGAGGAGCUCAUGAACUGUUGGAGACCAACCAUUGGGAGAACUCGUUGCGAGUCCACGUCGGCCGGAAACUUCGCGAUUGAGACCCACAAGCGCCAUCUGAUCGAUUAGGGAAAAAGUUGAGGACUUCCACCGCCGAGGCUUGGAGCUUGAGGUUAGUGGAGAAAAAGAGUCAAAAUGGGCAGAAGGGAACGGAGAAUCGAGAUAUCACUUUGGAUCUACGAGAUUUGAGGAUUGUGGGCGUCAGAAACAAAUCAGAGGAUGAGGCGACGACGAGCAUGCAGAGAGGAAUUAUCUGAGGAGUUUGGCAAAUUUUGGAACUCUCGGAAAUGCAAAUCCGAACAAAGAGUGUCACGCUUUUCAGGUGGAGUUUGAUGUAGUAGUCGAGACGGGGCACACGUGGGCUGUUGGCUGUAGAGAAUCCCAUCACAUUUGAGUCUGUAGUCUUCUUUGUGCUUUGCCUUUAAACCGUGCAUUCCAUGUAUUUUAAAUCGUUUAAUAUCGAACUGAUGUAUUUUAGUGAUCUCCUUCUCGUCUCUAUAAAAGAAAUUUCAUUACUAUAUUUUA
Molecule: non-coding RNA, 695 nt
Organism: Cucurbita pepo subsp. pepo (vegetable marrow)
Lineage: Eukaryota; Viridiplantae; Streptophyta; Magnoliopsida; Cucurbitales; Cucurbitaceae
Source: RefSeq, a predicted model, not a curated record